RNAcentral lists this ribosomal RNA (253 nucleotides) under uncultured bacterium. Its description in RNAcentral is "partial 16S ribosomal RNA". It matches the Rfam family "Bacterial small subunit ribosomal RNA", at positions 524 to 776 of the family's 1533-position model. The record is from RNAcentral.
GACAGAGGGUGCAAACGUUGCUCGGAAUUACUGGGCGUAAAGCGCGUGUAGGCGGACCUGCAAGUCGGACGUGAAAGCCCUGGGCUCAACCCAGGAACUGCAUCCGAAACUGCGGGCCUGGAGUGGUGGAGAGGGAAGCAGAAUUCCUGGUGUAGAGGUGAAAUUCGUAGAUAUCAGGAGGAACACCAGUGGCGAAGGCGGCUUCCUGGACACUUACUGACGCUGAGACGCGAAAGCGUGGGGAGCAAACAGG